Molecule: ribosomal RNA, 253 nt
Filed under: uncultured bacterium
Lineage: Bacteria
Description: partial 16S ribosomal RNA
Rfam family: Bacterial small subunit ribosomal RNA
Source: RNAcentral
UACGGAGGGUGCAAGCGUUGCUCGGAAUUAUUGGGCGUAAAGGGUAGGUAGGUGGUCUCAUUUGUCUGGGGUGAAAGCCUUGAGCUUAACUCAAGAAGUGCCCCAGAAACGGUGAGACUGGAGUCCUGGAGAGGGUCGUGGAAUUCCCGGUGUAGCGGUGAAAUGCGUAGAGAUCGGGAGGAACACCAGUGGCGAAGGCGGCUACCUGGACCAGCACUGGCACUGAGGCACGAAAGCGUGGGGAGCAAACAGG